GCCGGGCGUGGUGGCGCGUGCCUGUAAUCCCAGCUACUCGGGAGGCUGAGACAGGAGAAUCGCUUGAACUCAGGAGGCGGAGGUGGCAGUGGGCCGAGAUCGCGCCACUGCACUCCAGCCUGGGCGACAGAACGAGACUCCGUCUCAC
Molecule: unclassified non-coding RNA, 148 nt
Organism: Macaca mulatta (Rhesus monkey)
Lineage: Eukaryota; Metazoa; Chordata; Mammalia; Primates; Cercopithecidae
Rfam family: Metazoan signal recognition particle RNA
About the family: The signal recognition particle (SRP) is a universally conserved ribonucleoprotein. It is involved in the co-translational targeting of proteins to membranes.
Source: Ensembl